This 324-nucleotide long non-coding RNA is filed under the name Anser brachyrhynchus (Pink-footed goose). Its description in RNAcentral is "lncRNA (ENSABRG00000013182.1)". Lineage: Eukaryota; Metazoa; Chordata; Aves; Anseriformes; Anatidae. The record is from RNAcentral.
AUGCGGAGGAUCUGUCACCUGCAGCAUCCUGGGGAGGCUCAAGGAGGUCGCUGCCCCAGGCAGAUUCAACCUUCUUACAUGAAGACGUUAUACCAUGGUGGAUGCAUCCUUUGGUUCCGCAGAGAAAUGGAAUCAGUGGUUGAGCGAGGUGCAAUGCAUGCAAACCAGAAAACAUCUGCAAGGAAUGUAGCACCUCACCGGCAGCGUUCCCUGCUCGGGCGGCCCUACCGACAGAGCGAGGUAUGUUUCAGCUUAGCAGCCCCUAACGAGGACCGGAUUUCGCUCCUCUUGCCCUUGUUGGAAGUUACUCACGCACAUGAGUAA